GACCAAUAUAGAAUGUAAUGACAUUCUGAAUAGCAUAAUAGGAAAAGUUGUACUGUACUAAUUUGAUUUAAAACGAACAAUAUCACAUUAUACCUAUAGGAGUAUCAUUGGAUUGUUGCCCAUCAACGAAUAUCACAUUAUACCUAUAGGAAUAUCAUUGGAUUGUUGCCCAUCAACGAAUAUCACAUUAUACCUAUAGGAAUAUCAUUGGAUUGUUGCCCAUCAACGGAUAACAGAGCCAUUGGCAUAACGAGACGACUGUUACGAUAGCGGAUUGAUGGUAUGGACCCGGUCGAAUGCAUUAGCCCCUGAUCUACGGUGUUGUCUAUU
Molecule: long non-coding RNA, 330 nt
Filed under: Capsicum annuum
Lineage: Eukaryota; Viridiplantae; Streptophyta; Magnoliopsida; Solanales; Solanaceae
Description: long non-coding RNA (CANN_LNC012019)
Source: RNAcentral